GGGGAGGCUUGCACAGGUGCUGCAUGGCUGUCGUCAGCUCGUGUCGUGAGAUGUUCGGUUAAGUCCGCUAACGAGCGCAACCCUCGCUGUGUGUUACAAGUGUCACACGGUACUGCCGGUCUUAAGCCGGAGGAAGGUGGGGAUGACGUCAAGUCAGCAUGGCCUUUAUGUCCUGGGCUACACACACGCUACAAUGGCCAACACAAUAGGUUGCUAAGCCGCGAGGUGGAGCCAAUCCUCAAAGUUGGUCUCAGUUCAGAUUGCAGGCUGCACCCGCCUGCAUGAAGAUGGAGUUGCUAGUAACCGCAGGUCAGCUAUACUGCGGUGAAUACGUUCCCGGGGCUU
This 345-nucleotide ribosomal RNA is filed under the name uncultured Leptolinea sp. Its description in RNAcentral is "bacterial SSU rRNA". It matches the Rfam family "Bacterial small subunit ribosomal RNA", at positions 1022 to 1382 of the family's 1533-position model. The record is from RNAcentral. Lineage: Bacteria; Bacillati; Chloroflexota; Anaerolineae; Anaerolineales; Anaerolineaceae.